AAGCAAACAACUGUCAAUGAGCAAGUGUUAGUGAGCCCAUUCAAAGUCAUCAGCGUGGUGGUCCUCAGGUGGAGAGUGAGGUGGUACGCCUAGAUGGCCAGGUAAAAAUGGAGCACUGACAAGCAAGCCCCAAGGAAAUGUGUAACCUCCACAGGAUGUUUUAUUAUUGGCUUGGGAGGAAGUGAAACUCUGCUUCAACUUCCACAAAGUUCUUCCUGAUCAAUCCUAUGUGACCCUAAUGUCUGCUCAGAAGGAUUUAUCAAGUGUGUUUUUUGGAACAUCACUCGUCUAGGAUGCUCUGGGUCAUCUUCAGUCCACAGACUUAGAACUGUGCAUCUCUCCCGAAUGUAUAUCUCAAUCUUGGCCACUCCCUGGAGUCUAACUCACGGACCAAACUGCCAUCGAACAUCUCCAUUUAAGAGAUCAAUGGGGAUCUUCUGCAUCAUUUAUGUGAGAAGAUGGUAGGUUGGAGCUUGGAACAAUGUUUGGAAGGACAUUGCCUCCCCUUGGAAGCUAAAGCCCUGGCCAAUCUGAAGAAAGUAAAAACCAUUCCCAGUUUUGCUUUGCUAUUAGGAGAGAGAAAAAACCUUGAAGAUGGCCUUUGAGACUCCAGGAAUCUCUGCUGACCUCCACACUUCCAUCCCACCUUCUUCACUCUCUGUUCAGCUUCCCCCUCUCCUUCUCUCCCCUCAUGUUCUUUGUUUGGCUGCACUGGCCUUGAUUCAGUUCCUUACACCAACCAGAAGCCUUUGUUUGUAUUAUUUCUUCUGCCCAGAAGGCUCUUCCCCUUCACUUCUCUCUUUGACCUAAUUAACCAACCUCUAUCUUACAAACUGAUGCUCAUAUAAGACCUUCUAGCGCGAGCUUUCUCAUACCCUCUACACCAAAUGUCCUGUUAAUCUCACAAAAUGCCCUGUGCCUCUCUGUCAUAGGAGAGAAUCUCAGUCUGUACUUAUUUAUUUAUUUAUUUGACUGUUUUAAUGUCGUUCUCUCCUAACCAAGAGGAAAGAAAGCGCGUCUCUGCUCACCAUUAUAUCUCCUGCACUAUUACAGUGCCUGUCAGAGUUAACAAGUAUCUCUUGGAUUUAUGUGUGGUUGAAUGAAUGAGUUGGUGAGUGAAUAAUAAGAAAUCCACUGAAAAGUUUGGUCAAAUUUGAUACCUACUUUCUCAUUAUUAUCAAAUUGAAAAAUACUAGUUACUUGUUUUAUUUAAGAGCUUCCUAUGUCUUUCUUCAGCCAGUUAGCUUAUUUUUAGAACUACUGUUCAUGAGUUGGAAAACCAAUUCUAUAGCUACCUUUAUCUUUUAUUACUCUGAGCCUUGCUUGUUUUAAAAAUGAAGAGAGGAAAGAAAACACUCCAAUUUUGUGGUUCAGUUCACAUUUCAAUUUUUCUCUUCUUUCUUUUAUUCUGAACAUUGUAAAUGGUUUGAAAAACCAAGCUUUUGCAUUUAUAUUGAUCUUUUCAUCUACAGAUUUAUAAGAGCUUUAAAAACAUGUAUUAAUACUUACAAUAGCAUUUCAAACUAGAAAAUACAGCCACAUUAAAUCUCCGUUAAGAUAUAGAUGCUGUUAACAGGUUCACAAUAUGGCAGCAACAAUUUCAAAUACAAAUUAGGGGUUUUGAUUAAACCCUCUAAACUGACUAAUGGUGAGUUCCUCCUAGAGGCACCUGUCAUUUUAAAUCCAACAAUUACGACAUCUCUUCAAAGAAUAUAUGGAUUUAGAAAGCUCUAGCUUGAAAACUCAAGGAUUUAAAACAUUUGCAAAUAAAAAAAGGCAGGAUAACAUUUACUCUUCUAUUUCUAACUUCUCUAGAAAUGUUAUUGGAUUUUUAGCCUGACAUUUUCCCCUAAUAUAUACAAAUAAAGCUAUAAAUUUUCCUUCAAGCACAAGUUUUUGCUGUACUCUGUGAAUUUUGAUAUACCAUAUUUCAGUUAUUUUUUCACUUCCAAACAUUUUCUAAUUUUCAUUGGAAUUUCUUUUUUUGACCCAUGUGUUCUUUACAAAUGUAUUACUUAGUUUCCAAACAUUUAACCAUCUUCUAGUUAAUUUUUAAUGUUGUUAUAGAUUUCAGUCUUAAUUCCACUGUAAUAAAAGAACAUUGUAUGAUUUCAAUCUUUUGCAGUUUAAGACUAGCUGCUUGGUUUAUAUGUACAAUUUUUUAAAAUGUUCUGUGGGCAUUAAAAUGAAUGUUCUUAAAUGUUAUUAUACAUAUGUGAAUUAGAUAAAGUUUAUUAGUUGUGCUAAUUCAAAUAUUUUAUAUCCUUCCUGAUUUAUUUUAAUCUAUUUUGUUACUGAGAAAUGCUUAAUAAAAUCUCUAACCACACU
Molecule: long non-coding RNA, 2328 nt
Organism: Bos taurus (domestic cattle)
Lineage: Eukaryota; Metazoa; Chordata; Mammalia; Artiodactyla; Bovidae
Source: Ensembl